GAUGAACGCUGGCGGCGUGCCUAAUACAUGCAAGUCGAGCGAACAGACGAGGAGCUUGCUCCUCUGACGUUAGCGGCGGACGGGUGAGUAACACGUGGAUAACCUACCUAUAAGACUGGGAUAACUUCGGGAAACCGGCGCUAAUACCGGAUAAUAUAUUGAACCGCAUGGUUCAAUAGUGAAAGACGGUUUUGCUGUCAGUUAUAGAUGGAUCCGCGCCGCAUUAGCUAGUUGGUAAGGUAAUGGCUUACCAAGGCAACGAUGCGUAGCCGGCCUGAGAGGCUGACCGGCCACAUUGGGCCUGCGAUACGGCCCAGACUCGUACGGGAGGCAGCAGUGGGGAAUAUUGCACAAUGGGCGGAAGCCUGAUGCAGCAACGCCGCGUGCGGGAUGACGGCCUUCGGGUUGUAAACCGCUUUCGCCUGUGACGAAGCGUGAGUGACGGUAAUGGGUAAAGAAGCACCGGCUAACUACGUG
This 477-nucleotide ribosomal RNA is filed under the name uncultured bacterium. RNAcentral describes it as "partial 16S ribosomal RNA". It matches the Rfam family "Bacterial small subunit ribosomal RNA", at positions 28 to 507 of the family's 1533-position model. The record is from RNAcentral.